Molecule: non-coding RNA, 152 nt
Organism: Anopheles epiroticus
Lineage: Eukaryota; Metazoa; Arthropoda; Insecta; Diptera; Culicidae
Source: Rfam
AUAAACCUUUGCCUUGCAACGGGAUGGGAUGCGAAGUCUCCUUAAGAUUCCAUCCAACUCCUAUUCCGACACGUCCACGUCGUGCAGGGUGGUAACAUGGGACCAAGUCCAGCCAUUCGGCUGAAUGAAGGCUCAUGGCUAAGAAGGAGGGG